Molecule: long non-coding RNA, 633 nt
Organism: Girardinichthys multiradiatus
Lineage: Eukaryota; Metazoa; Chordata; Actinopteri; Cyprinodontiformes; Goodeidae
Exons: 3
Source: RefSeq, a predicted model, not a curated record
AAAGAGGACUCCUACAUUUUCCCUUGCUAACAAGAAAGAUAAAUAAGACUCUCUAAAAUGUUUUCAGCUGCAAAUAACAGUCAUGGUGUGGAAACUAAAGGAGUGCCACCCAUCACUCUCAUUAAGAUUGGACUUACUUUGCUAUAAUUAGCAGCAUUCUUCACAGCCAGAACCAGCUCAGGAGCAUCGGGAGGCAGCAGGAGCAAGAACAAGAUGGACAGCAGCAGCUGAAGUCAGGCACCUCAAGCGGACUGCUGCUUCAUCGCAGUAAAACCAACCCAGCAGUUCUGAUCUCAUUGGCAAAACUGUGAUUUCUUUAUCAAACAUUGUCUGACUUACCCCAUGUAUCCACAGCCUUUGCCAUUUGCAUUUACUACAUUGUAAUCUAGGGACUGAUUGCUUGUGUUUACUGUCCACAAACCUCAUUAUCAUAACUUCAUCACUGUUCAUGGAGUGAUACUUUUUUGUUUCUCUAUCCUUUUUGGCAUUAAUAGGUUGUAUUGACAUGCUGAAAAUGCUAGGCAGUUAUUUUAGAGCUACAACACAUAACCUGCUUUUCAGAUACUAAUGCCCACUUCCUUUUCAUUAAAAUUGAUUGAAAUCUUUUUAAAAUAAAUGUCCUAAGAUUUAAAA